This 274-nucleotide ribosomal RNA is filed under the name uncultured bacterium. RNAcentral's name for it is "partial 16S ribosomal RNA". It matches the Rfam family "Archaeal small subunit ribosomal RNA", at positions 473 to 747 of the family's 1478-position model. The record is from RNAcentral.
AAACCAGCACCUCAAGUGGUCAGGAUGAUUAUUGGGCCUAAAGCAUCCGUAGCCUGCUCUGUAAGUUUUCGGUUAAAUCUGUACGCUUAACGUACAGGCUGCCGGAAAUACUGCAGAGCUAGGGAGUGGGAGAGGUAGACGGUACUCGGGAGGAAGUGGUAAAAUGCUUUGAUCUCUCGAUGACCACCUGUGGCGAAGGCGGUCUACCAGAACACGUCCGACGGUGAGGGAUGAAAGCUGGGGGAGCAAACCGGAUUAGAUACCCGAGUAGUCC